GAUGAACGCUGGCGGCGUGCCUAAUACAUGCAAGUCGAGCGAACGGACGAGAAGCUUGCUUCUCUGAUGUUAGCGGCGGACGGGUGAGUAACACGUGGAUAACCUACCUAUAAGACUGGGAUAACUUCGGGAAACCGGAGCUAAUACCGGAUAAUAUUUUGAACCGCAUGGUUCAAAAGUGAAAGACGGUCUUGCUGUCACUUAUAGAUGGAUCCGCGCUGCAUUAGCUAGUUGGUAAGGUAACGGCUUACCAAGGCAACGAUGCAUAGCCGACCUGAGAGGGUGAUCGGCCACCCUGGAACUGAGACACGGUCCAGACUCCUACGGGAGGCAGCAGUAGGGAAUCUUCCGCAAUGGGCGAAAGCCUGACGGAGCAACGCCGCGUGAGUGAUGAAGGUCUUCGGAGCGUAAAACUCUGUUAUUAGGGAAGAACAUAUGUGUAAGUAACUGUGCACAUCUUGACGGUACCUAAUCAGAAAGCCACGGCUAACUACGUG
RNAcentral lists this ribosomal RNA (497 nucleotides) under uncultured bacterium. RNAcentral's name for it is "partial 16S ribosomal RNA". It matches the Rfam family "Bacterial small subunit ribosomal RNA", at positions 28 to 507 of the family's 1533-position model. The record is from RNAcentral.